AUGUGCACAUCUCCACUCCGACGAGGUACCGGCAGCACCGUUCCUGAAGCCUCACACCGCCGUCACCGCAGCAAAUCCGCCGAAGCCGCGCAGCCGUGGUCCAACACCACCCGCACUGCCGAGAGAGCGCGAACCAGACCUCCACUAACAUCACCGUCGAGAAGCAACCACCUCCUCCAAGCGGAGCAAAAGCCAGAUCCGCUCCAUCGGCCUUCAUCGACAUCGAGAGACUGCCGCCUGAUUGGAUCUGGCCCGCCCCCCAACCUCACUUCGGCGCCAUCUCCAACGGGGCAUCGCCGCGAUCCCUUUCACACGGAGGCGGCCGGACGCCCGCUGCGCGCCAGGACACCUUCCUGGCAGGGCCAUCUCGGCGCCGCCGCCCCCAUGGCUGAUCCAACACCGCCGCCUCCGCCGUUGCUGGCGCUCCACCUGCCGCCACCUACCAGCGGUGCUCCUCGCCAGGAUCCGGCGAACGCCCUCGCCGUGCCCUCCGCCGUGCCUCCAACCACACCGCGAGUCCCCGCGCCGUCUGCGAGAAGAAAGCCAUGGUCUUUCCACUGCCGCGCGGCGAAACCAACCCCACAGGCCCAGAUCGAAACGGAUCUGGACCUGACCGCACCUUCAUCCACUGCUCCGGCGCCAGCGCUUCCGGGGGCAUCACCUCACGCCCACCGCAUGGAGACGGCCGACCGCCCGCUGCCCGCCAGGAUCUCCUUCCUGGCAGGGCCUCCUCAGCGCCGCCACCUCCAUGGCAGAGCGCUCGCGCCGCCGCCGCCCACCAGUGCCAGCGCACCGCCUUCUUCCUCCUCCUCCGCACAACAACCUCCUGACCCGGUUCCUUCGCACCACCGCGCUCUCCGCCAUGCUCCGGCGACCAGCAACAAGAUCACGCCACUGGCCACCCCACCUCCAAGGCUGGCCCCGGGGAAGACCCGCUCCGCGCGAAGGGGCCUGUCGUGGGGGCGUCGCCAGCACCCUCCGCCUUUGGCGGCCGGGCGCGGCCGCCACCGCCGGCGGCGGCAGCGGCCGGGGAAGGAGAUCCGGCGGCUUCUGGUUUAG
This 1059-nucleotide ribosomal RNA is filed under the name Triticum aestivum (bread wheat). RNAcentral describes it as "partial small subunit ribosomal RNA". The record is from RNAcentral. Lineage: Eukaryota; Viridiplantae; Streptophyta; Magnoliopsida; Poales; Poaceae.